GUGCUCGCUUGGGCAGCACAUGUACUAGAAUUGGAACGAUACAAAGGUUAACAUGGCCACUCCACAAGGCUGACACACAAAUUCAUGACACGUUCCAUUUUUUU
Small nuclear RNA from Pteronotus mesoamericanus, 104 nucleotides. Lineage: Eukaryota; Metazoa; Chordata; Mammalia; Chiroptera; Mormoopidae. The record is from RefSeq and is a predicted model, not a curated record.